CUCAAAACACAGAGUGAGCAUGUAAUGCAAUUUUGUUGUAGCAUAUCACUGAAUUUUGUUGAUAUAACAACCUGAAAUAAAGUAUUAAGACAGAUUGACAUGCUUAGGUAGCGCAGCUGAGGAUUCAGAUAUUUAAAUCUAACAUGUUCUAGCUUGUUCCUGCUGAAAUCGAUGGAAGUUCUCCUUCACAGCUGAUUGCAGUGGGGGAAAAUGGAUCCAGCCUAUGCAGAAUAAUGACAGGAAGGGGAAUGGGGUGUUGGUGAUGACACAAGCAGAGAGAAGAAAUAAAUCUCACUGGGACAGUGUGGACAGGAGUGCCUGUUUGCCCUGGAAAGAACUGGAAGAAGAAGAAGAA
This is a non-coding RNA of Zonotrichia albicollis (white-throated sparrow), 355 nucleotides long. Lineage: Eukaryota; Metazoa; Chordata; Aves; Passeriformes; Passerellidae. The record is from RefSeq and is a predicted model, not a curated record.